This 532-nucleotide long non-coding RNA is filed under the name Salmo salar (Atlantic salmon). RNAcentral describes it as "lncRNA (ENSSSAG00000110546.1)". Lineage: Eukaryota; Metazoa; Chordata; Actinopteri; Salmoniformes; Salmonidae. The record is from RNAcentral.
CCAUUAGCUAGGACUGGGUUGCUUUUAUUCUUUCUCAAAUUGGGUCCUUGAGAAUGAGUGGGAGUGCGUCUUCAUAGAAAUGUUAUCAGUUGUCUCAACAUUUUGCUUGUUUCUGUUUGAUGUGUGAUUAUCAUGUGCAUCUCUCUCAGGGAGGUUUGAUGUGUGAUUAUCAUGUGCAUCUCUCUCAGGGAGGUUUGAUGUGGGAUUAUAAUGUGCAUCUCUCUCAGGGAGGUUUUAUGUGUGAUUAUGUGUACCUCUCUCAGGGAGGUUUGAUGUGUGAUUAUCAUGUGCUACUCUCUCAGGGAGGUUUGAUGUGUGAUUAUCAUGUGCUACUCUCUCAGGGAGGUUUGAUGUGUGAUAAUAAUGUGUACCUCUCUCAGGGAGGUUUGAUGUGUGAUUAUCAUGUGCUACUCUCUCAGGGAGGUUUGAUGUGUGAUUAUAAUGUGUACCUCUCUCAGGGAGGUUUGAUGUGUGAUUAUCACAUGCACCUCAGUGUGAGCUUGAACUCAUAAAGACAGACCAGAGUAUACCA